RNAcentral lists this long non-coding RNA (3278 nucleotides) under Parus major (Great Tit). RNAcentral's name for it is "lncRNA (ENSPMJG00000004249.1)". Lineage: Eukaryota; Metazoa; Chordata; Aves; Passeriformes; Paridae. The record is from RNAcentral.
GUUUCCAGGGGCCAAGGCUCAGAGGCAGGAGGAGCAAAACUGGGCUCUCACCCUGCAGACAAGUCCUGGGAGAGGAAAGGACAAGGAGGACAGUGAGGCUGUGGAGGAUGUGUCCAGGUCCAAGCAGAAGCUGUGUGACAAUGCAGGACCUUCAAGCUGCCUCUCUGUGGGCUGUAGCACCUUUGCUGCCAUCACAGGAGGCACAAGCUGAUCCAGAGCAGGAUUUCUGGGUGGCAGGCCAGCAGGAUGGCUUCGCCUGCACGGGUGGCAGACCACAGCUCAGCAGGACCACGGAGUGUGAGGAAAACUGGGAUUUGAAUGCGGUCAGCUUCUGGCAGAGGAGAGGGCAGCCAAAUACCAGGGGAACGGCUCUCCCAACCCCAACCACGCUGUGCUACAUGUGGUUUCCAGCAAAAUCACAGAGCAGCAUUUCUCCAUGUGGCCUAGGGAGCUCUCUGUCCCAGGAAGGACAUGGAGAUAACGUUGGAGAAGUAUCAUGGACAGCAGUGAAAUCACCUCAAAAUGUUCUCUGCAGCCUGGGCCAGUCAGGAGGUCAGCGGAGCAGCCUGGCUGCCCCCCACACACACUGCUCUCCACACUCCCAAUUGCUGCCCCAGUGACAGGGGUUCCAGGCUGCAUUUUCCUUCCUGGAGCUUGGUUCAUGAGAGGAGCAGCCUUGUAAGAUGGUCCUCUGGGGCUCUGGCUGACUCCAAACUGGCUGGGAACAGCUCCUGAGAAAAGCCAAGCCAUUGCCAGGCUGCUAUCACCAGCCUUGGUGCAGACAGUCACAUAAGUCAAACACACCCUUUCUCUAUUUCUCUCCCAAAACCCUGCAGCAGGUGGAAACCCACCCCAAAGGGUCUUGAUUUGAAAGUACAGGAGGGAAGCCUUGCACUUCCCAGCCCAGCCCAGCCCAUCUUCCUGGGGAACAGCAGGACAUAACUGAGACUGUAACAGCCAUUCUUCCCUUUCCUCCCCAUGUCAGAGCAGCCACCAGCUCAUGGCAGACCCCCAUGUCCCAAGGCACCUUUUCCCCAGCUUGUCUUCACAGGGGGAAAUUCCUACCACCUUCAUAUGGCCACAGACAUCAUUCAUGGGGACCUGCUGCAGGGCAUGUUUGAAUCACAGGAUGUUUUGAGAUGAAAGGGAUCUUAAAGACCAUCUAGUUCCCAAUCACCUGGCAAGGCCAGGGACACUUUUCACCAGACAAAGUUUCUCAAAGCCCCAUUUAACCUGGCCUUGCUCUCCAGGGAUGUCCCAGGCUUCUCCUCCUGAUCUGCUCCUGUGGGUGAGGUUCCCUCAGACACAGCCCAGCCCCUCUGGAGGAAGCAGCACUCCCGUGUGACUGACACCACACUUGGCACAGCUUGGGCUCAGGCAGUAGGAGGUCUGAGGAUGCUGUCCUCUCCAGCUGUGUCCCCAUGGUCCUGCAGAUCUCCACUGCCUCACCCUGCCUGGGCUGUGCUGGCUGCCAGCCCACCAGAACCUCCCCACACUGUGGGGGCCACCAUAAGCCUGCAAAAGGCCAAUCUUGGCUGUGGCUUUGUGGUCAGAGCACAGAAGAAGCCCAGCCAAGCAGUCUGGUUGCUUUUAUUUAGACUCAGGGCCUGCAUGAGGCAGUCCCCUCCCUGUUCCUUUAGGGGGAUUCUCAUUUGGGGGCCACCAGCUUGCAAUUAGUAAAUCACUGCUCUCCCACCUCCCACAGCACCAGGUCACCCUGCCCUGGGCAGCCCAGCAGCCAGGGGAGAGAACACCCAGCCAAACACCUUUUACAAAUCAUUCUGCAUAGUUCACAUUCUCGGCCGGUUUAUGAGCAUUUUAGCUCCUCAUAUUGAUCAGGGCUGGAGCCGAAGUAAUUACAUUAAUCAGAAAUAAUUUCCCAUGAUUUUGAGUCAUAUUUGAGCUGGUGCCCAGCUCCUCUGCUCACCCCUCUGCUCCCUGGUACAUACUUUCCAGGCGACAUCGCUGCUUCCAUAACCAUAGCGAGACCCGGAGGUUUGUUUUUCUCAGCUGGAUCCCACACACGCUCUAAAGGUUUCAGUCAUGUCUUUAUUGAUUUGGCUGGGGAAGGGGACAAGAGGAGGUGGUUUAUGUGAAGCUCAUGCUUGGGAAAUGUCUCCAGAUGUCUCUGGCAUCAGGAUGGGGCAUAGGGAAGGGUUGGGGGCCUGCAACUCCUUUGCACAUGGAGGCAUCACUUGUUUCAACUUUUCCAGUCUUGCUCAGAAGAUGGAGAGCAAGCCCAGCCAUUGCUUUGUCCCCUGGGGUGGAAUCUGGAAGCGGGACUCACCUGCAAAGCCUUUGGCAUGAUUCCUGUGGAGAAGCAGCAGGUCCCCUGCCAGCUGGCUUGGAUGGUGACCAGUCAUUUGGGGUUUUCAGGUGCUGGGUGUGAAGGGUGAACUGCCAGCUCCUCAUUCCCCCCCAGCCCUGCUCCCCAGUGUGCCCAAGGUCUGUGCUGGAAGCUCCUGCAGGAGCCAGGCUCCUUCCAUAGAGGAUGCUGAGGAAUGCCCACUUCUCUGCCUUUGGGAAGGUCCCAGCCAUGACUGGGGCUUUGUGGAGCAUCCACUGGAGAUGUGCCAGCUGUCUUUGCCCCAGGUCACUGUCCCCUCCCCAGCACUGCCCUGUCCCAGCAUCCUGGAUUCACCAGCAGCCUCAGCUGCUCCUGCUGCUGGCGAGCCAAGAGCAGCCCUGGGCACGUGAAGGGCUGUGACAUUUGGGAACAGACACAGCCUGUGUCACCCAAACCUCUUCCAGCACCACACACUUCCCAGGCACAACCCCAGCUGCCUCAUGUGUGCAGCACUUGCAUCCUCCAAAGCCUUACCAGUCAGAAAGCAGGGCUGGAAGGGAGCACAGCCCUCUCCAAAGCAGAGCUGGCACAAUUACAAGGUAAGUUUGGGGACACUUAAAAGCAUCACUGGCUGCACAUUGGUGAGUGCCUCCAUUUGCAGCCUCUUUGAUGCUGCAGGGGACACAGCAGCUGUCUGAAAACACACAGCACCCUCAAGCAAGACAAGAACUGCAGGAAAAAUGCUGUCUAUCUUAGCCUGAAACCACAAGAAAUAUAGAGAUAGUCAAAAAGAAUGAGCAAUUUGAUCAGGAAACAUGAGUGAGCCAUCCAGCUCCAUGGAAAAUACAAAGGGUCUGUCAGUAACCACACAGGGUCAGGAUCUGGGGAUUAUGUCUUGUCUGAAAGAUAAAACUUCUGGUGAUAUUUUUAAAAAGAAGUUUAUGUUUGAUGAUGUUUGAUUCUCAAUAAAAAAUAAAAUCCCAGAGGAUCA